Molecule: ribosomal RNA, 305 nt
Filed under: uncultured bacterium
Lineage: Bacteria
Description: bacterial SSU rRNA
Rfam family: Bacterial small subunit ribosomal RNA
Source: RNAcentral
UUUAUCCUACGGGGGGCAGCAGUGAGGAAUAUUGGUCAAUGGGAGAGAUCCUGAACCAGCCAUGCCGCGUGCAGGAAGACGGCUCUAUGAGUUGUAAACUGCUUUUGUACGAGGGUAAAUCCCGAUACGUGUAUCGGGUUGAAAGUAUCGUACGAAUAAGGAUCGGCUAACUCCGUGCCAGCAGCCGCGGUAAUACGGAGGAUUCAAGCGUUAUCCGGAUUUAUUGGGUUUAAAGGGUGCGUAGGCGGUUCGAUAAGUUAGAGGUUAAAUCCCGGGGCUCAACUCCGGCACUGCCUCUGAUACUU